UUUAUGGAGAGUUUGAUCCUGGCUCAGGAUGAACGCUGGCGGCGUGCCUAAUACAUGCAAGUCGAGCGAACGGAUGAGAAGCUUGCUUCUCUGAUGUUAGCGGCGGACGGGUGAGUAACACGUGGAUAACCUACCUAUAAGACUGGGAUAACUUCGGGAAACCGGAGCUAAUACCGGAUAAUAUUUUGAACCGCAUGGUUCAAAAGUGAAAGACGGUCUUGCUGUCACUUAUAGAUGGAUCCGCGCUGCAUUAGCUAGUUGGUAAGGUAACGGCUUACCAAGGCAACGAUGCAUAGCCGACCUGAGAGGGUGAUCGGCCACACUGGAACUGAGACACGGUCCAGACUCCUACGGGAGGCAGCAGUAGGGAAUCUUCCGCAAUGGGCGAAAGCCUGACGGAGCAACGCCGCGUGAGUGAUGAAGGUCUUCGGAUCGUAAAACUCUGUUAUUAGGGAAGAACAUAUGUGUAAGUAACUGUGCACAUCUUGACGGUACCUAAUCAGAAAGCCACGGCUAACUACGUGCCAGCAGCCGCGGUAAUACGUAGGUGGCAAGCGUUAUCCGGAAUUAUUGGGCGUAAAGCGCGCGUAGGCGGUUUUUUAAGUCUGAUGUGAAAGCCCACGGCUCAACCGUGGAGGGUCAUUGGAAACUGGAAAACUUGAGUGCAGAAGAGGAAAGUGGAAUUCCAUGUGUAGCGGUGAAAUGCGCAGAGAUAUGGAGGAACACCAGUGGCGAAGGCGACUUUCUGGUCUGUAACUGACGCUGAUGUGCGAAAGCGUGGGGAUCAAACAGGAUUAGAUACCCUGGUAGUCCACGCCGUAAACGAUGAGUGCUAAGUGUUAGGGGGUUUCCGCCCCUUAGUGCUGCAGCUAACGCAUUAAGCACUCCGCCUGGGGAGUACGACCGCAAGGUUGAAACUCAAAGGAAUUGACGGGGACCCGCACAAGCGGUGGAGCAUGUGGUUUAAUUCGAAGCAACGCGAAGAACCUUACCAAAUCUUGACAUCCUUUGACAACUCUAGAGAUAGAGCCUUCCCCUUCGGGGGACAAAGUGACAGGUGGUGCAUGGUUGUCGUCAGCUCGUGUCGUGAGAUGUUGGGUUAAGUCCCGCAACGAGCGCAACCCUUAAGCUUAGUUGCCAUCAUUAAGUUGGGCACUCUAAGUUGACUGCCGGUGACAAACCGGAGGAAGGUGGGGAUGACGUCAAAUCAUCAUGCCCCUUAUGAUUUGGGCUACACACGUGCUACAAUGGACAAUACAAAGGGCAG
Molecule: ribosomal RNA, 1267 nt
Filed under: Staphylococcus aureus
Lineage: Bacteria; Bacillati; Bacillota; Bacilli; Caryophanales; Staphylococcaceae
Description: bacterial SSU rRNA
Rfam family: Bacterial small subunit ribosomal RNA
Source: RNAcentral